Long non-coding RNA from Homo sapiens (human), 468 nucleotides. RefSeq lists it as uncharacterized. The transcript is spliced from 4 exons. NCBI's taxonomy places the organism in Eukaryota, Metazoa, Chordata, Mammalia, Primates, Hominidae. The record is from RefSeq and is a predicted model, not a curated record.
CUCCAAGGCAAGGCGCUUUCCCCAGGGCUCUGGGCUUGCUGGCUUCACUUCUUGGCGACUAACCAAGGACUCUGGCCCUUGAGGAGUUGCAGGGAGGAGAGACUCCACCAACUGAGGAGCCCAGAACCGUCUCUCCAGGGCCAUGGGAUCUGAGCUGGGCCUUGAAAGGAGGCAGAUAAGAAGCAAUGGCAUCUCCAGGUCAGAACCUCAGAAGGAGGUGGAAACAAAUCCGGCUAUUUUACCAUUGGUUAAAGGUCACAUGCAGCUAUAGUGCAACGUCAAUAGGGGCUGUCCUAGCCCGUGGGACCAGCAAGCAGAGAUGUCCUUCCGUGCCACGAAGAAACAGUCUCUGCUGUGGCCCUAUGGAGUGCCGGCUGCUCACGGCUUCUUUUGCAGUAAGAGGAUCAGCGUGGAGGCCUAGACUGUCCAUGCCUAGAGAGGGACUGGGCAGGCGGGAAUAAACUGCUA